RNAcentral lists this ribosomal RNA (1382 nucleotides) under human gut metagenome. RNAcentral's name for it is "bacterial LSU rRNA". It matches the Rfam family "Bacterial large subunit ribosomal RNA", at positions 1131 to 2494 of the family's 2925-position model. The record is from RNAcentral.
UGCGUAACAGCUCACUGGUCGAGUGGACAUGCGCCGACAAUACACGGGGCUAAGCUGGACACCGAAGCGGCGGGAUUUUAAUUCAUUAGAAUCGGUAGGGGAGCUUCCCAUGGGCGGAGAAGCCGGAGGGCGACCGACGGUGGAGCGCAUGGGAGUGAGAAUGCUGGCAUGAGUAGCGAGAGACGAGAGAGUAACUCGUCCGCCGUGAACCCGAGGUUUCCUGGGCAAGGCUAAUCCUCCCAGGGUCAGUCGGGGGCUAAGGCGAGGCCGGGAGGCGUAGCCGACGCGCAGCAGGCAGACAUUCCUGCACCGCGCACGCGGCGCUACGACCGACGGGGCGACGGAUGGGGGUGGCUCGGCGGGGUUCUGGACGUCCCCGUGAUGGAGCGCGGCCCGCGGACCAGGGAAAUCCGGUCCGCAUUGAGGGCGAGGCUCCGGACGAAGCGACUGAGCGAAGCGAGUGAGCCCGAGGUCCCUAGAAAAACCCCUAGGCAGGCGCGUGCGCGCCCGUACCGCAAACCGACACAGGUGGGUGGGUAGAACAUACCGAGGCGAUCGGGUCAACCAUGGUCAAGGAACUCGGCACAAUGGCCCCGUAACUUCGGGAGAAGGGGUGCCCGCGCGUACGUGAACCGGCUUGCCCGGGGAGCGGAGGCGGGCCGCAGUGGAGAGGCCCAAGCGACUGUUUACCAAAAACACAGGACUCUGCAGAAGCCGCAAGGCGACGUAUAGGGUCUGACGCCUGCCCGGUGCCGGAAGGUCACGCGGAGGAGUUAGCCGAUUCGGCGAAGCCCCGAAGCCAAGCCCCGGUAAACGGCGGCCGUAACUAUAACGGUCCUAAGGUAGCGAAAUUCCUUGUCGGGUAAGUUCCGACCUGCACGAAAGGCGCAACGACUUGGGCGCUGUCUCGACCAUGGACCCGGUGAAAUUGCACUGGUCGUGAAGAUGCGACUUACCCGCGGAAGGACGGAAAGACCCCGUGAACCUUCACUGCAGCUUGGCAUUGGCCGCUGGUCCCGCGUGUAGAGGAUAGGCAGGAGGCACAGAUCCGGAGGCGCCAGCCCCCGGGGAGCCGCCCUUGGAAUACUGCCCUCGCGCGACCGGCGUCCUAACCCGAGGCCGUCAACCGGCUCGGGGACCGUGCCAGGCGGGCAGUUUGACUGGGGCGGUCGCCUCCUAAAGGGUAACGGAGGCGCGCGAAGGUCCGCUCGGGACGGUCGGCAACCGUCCUUUUGAAUGCAAGAGUACAAGCGGGCUUGACUGCGAGGCCCACAAGCCGAGCAGGUGCGAAAGCAGGCUCUAGUGAUCCGGCGGCCCCGAGUGGGUGGGCCGUCGCUCAACGGAUAAAAGGUACUCCGGGGAUAACAGGCUGAUCUUGCCCA